This 566-nucleotide ribosomal RNA is filed under the name uncultured fungus. RNAcentral describes it as "partial 18S ribosomal RNA". The stretch from base 181 to 334 matches the Rfam family "5.8S ribosomal RNA". The record is from RNAcentral. Lineage: Eukaryota; Fungi.
UCCGUAGGUGAACCUGCGGAGGGAUCAUUACCGAGUUAUACAACUCAUCAACCCUGUGAACAUACCUAAAACGUUGCUUCGGCGGGAACAGACGGCCCUGUAACAACGGGCCGCCCCCGCCAGAGGGCUCCUAACUCUGUUUUUAUAAUGUUUUUCUGAGUAAACAAGCAAAUAAAUUAAAGCUUUCAACAACGGAUCUCUUGGCUCUGGCAUCGAUGAAGAACGCAGCGAAAUGCGAUAAGUAAUGUGAAUUGCAGAAUUCAGUGAAUCAUCGAAUCUUUAAACGCACAUUGCGCCCGCCAGUAUUCUGGCGGGCAUGCCUGUUCGAGCGUCAUUACAACCCUCAGGCCCCCGGGCCUGGCGUUGGGGAUCGGCGGAAGCCCCCUGUGGGCACACGCCGUCCCUCAAAUACAGUGGCGGUCCCGCCGCAGCUUCCAUUGCGUAGUAGCUAACACCUCGCAACUGGAGAGCGGCGCGGCCAUGCCGUAAAACACCCAACUUCUGAAUGUUGACCUCGAAUCAGGUAGGAAUACCCGCUGAACUUAAGCAUAUCAAUAAGCGGAGGA